GACGGAGGGGGCUAGCGUUGUUCGGAAUUACUGGGCGUAAAGCGCGCGUAGGCGGCGCAUUAAGUCAGAGGUGAAAGCCCGGGGCUCAACCCCGGAAUUGCCUUUGAGACUGGUGUGCUUGAGUACGGAAGAGGUGAGUGGAAUUCCCAGUGAUAGAGGUGAAAUUCGUAAGAUAUUGGGAAGAACACCAGUGGGCGAAAGGCGGCCUCCACUGGGUCCCGUAAACUGACCGCUUGAGGUGCGAAAAGCGUGGGGGAGCAAACAGGAUUAGAUACCCCCGUAGUCC
Molecule: ribosomal RNA, 286 nt
Filed under: uncultured bacterium
Lineage: Bacteria
Description: partial 16S ribosomal RNA
Rfam family: Bacterial small subunit ribosomal RNA
Source: RNAcentral